GGGUUGUGAGGUUAAGCGACUAAGCGUACACGGUGGAUGCCCUGGCAGUCAGAGGCGAUGAAGGACGUGCUAAUCUGCGAUAAGCGUCGGUAAGGUGAUAUGAACCGUUAUAACCGGCGAUUUCCGAAUGGGGAAACCCAGUGUGUUUCGACACACUAUCAUUAACUGAAUCCAUAGGUUAAUGAGGCGAACCGGGGGAACUGAAACAUCUAAGUACCCCGAGGAAAAGAAAUCAACCGAGAUUCCCCCAGUAGCGGCGAGCGAACGGGGAGGAGCCCAGAGCCUGAAUCAGUGUGUGUGUUAGUGGAAGCGUCUGGAAAGGCGCGCGAUACAGGGUGACAGCCCCGUACACAAAAAUGCACAUGCUGUGAGCUCGAUGAGUAGGGCGGGACACGUGGUAUCCUGUCUGAAUAUGGGGGGACCAUCCUCCAAGGCUAAAUACUCCUGACUGACCGAUAGUGAACCAGUACCGUGAGGGAAAGGCGAAAAGAACCCCGGCGAGGGGAGUGAAAAAGAACCUGAAACCGUGUACGUACAAGC
Molecule: ribosomal RNA, 540 nt
Filed under: Escherichia coli
Lineage: Bacteria; Pseudomonadati; Pseudomonadota; Gammaproteobacteria; Enterobacterales; Enterobacteriaceae
Description: partial 23S ribosomal RNA
Rfam family: Bacterial large subunit ribosomal RNA
Source: RNAcentral